GAAGCGAACGCGGUGAACUGAAACAUCUAAGUAACCGCAGGAAAAGAAAUCAACCGAGAUUCCCAAAGUAGUGGCGAGCGAAAUGGGAUGAGCCUUGCACUCUUUAUUUGUAUUGUUAGCCGAACGCUCUGGAAAGUGCGGCCAUAGCAGGUGAUAGCCCUGUAGGCGAAAACAGUAUGAAAGAACUAGGUGUGCGACAAGUAGGGCGGGACACGUGAAAUCCUGUCUGAAGAUGGGGGGACCAUCCUCCAAGGCUAAAUACUCGUGAUCGACCGAUAGUGAACCAGUACCGUGAGGGAAAGGCGAAAAGAACCCCGGGAGGGGAGUGAAAUAGAUCCUGAAACCGCAUGCAUACAAACAGUCGGAGCCUCGAAAGGGGUGACGGCGUACCUUUUGUAUAAUGGGUCAGCGACUUACGUUCAGUAGCAAGCUUAACCGUAUAGGGCAGGCGUAGCGAAAGCGAGUCCGAAUAGGGCGUUCAGUUGCUGGGCGUAGACCCGAAACCAAGUGAUCUAUCCAUGGCCAGGAUGAAGGUGCGGUAACACGUACUGGAGGUCCGAACCCACUAACGUUGAAAAGUUAGGGGAUGAGCUGUGGAUAGGGGUGAAAGGCUAAACAAACUUGGAAAUAGCUGGUUCUCUCCGAAAACUAUUUAGGUAGUGCCUCGUGUCUCACCUUCGGGGGUAGAGCACUGUCAUGGUUGGGGGGUCUAUUGCAGAUUACCCCGCCAUAGCAAACUCCGAAUACCGAAGAGUGCAAUCACGGGAGACAGACAUCGGGUGCUAACGUCCGGUGUCAAGAGGGAAACAACCCAGACCGCCAGCUAAGGUCCCCAAAUAUAGCUAAGUGGGAAACGAAGUGGGAAGGCUAAAACAGUCAGGAGGUUGGCUUAGAAGCAGCCACCCUUUAAAGAAAGCGUAAUAGCUCACUGAUCGAGUCGUCCUGCGCGGAAGAUGUAACGGGGCUAAGCUAUAUACCGAAGCUGCGGAUGCGUGCUU
This 998-nucleotide ribosomal RNA is filed under the name Burkholderia contaminans. RNAcentral describes it as "partial 23S ribosomal RNA". It matches the Rfam family "Bacterial large subunit ribosomal RNA", at positions 176 to 1215 of the family's 2925-position model. The record is from RNAcentral. Lineage: Bacteria; Pseudomonadati; Pseudomonadota; Betaproteobacteria; Burkholderiales; Burkholderiaceae.